Molecule: ribosomal RNA, 409 nt
Filed under: uncultured bacterium
Lineage: Bacteria
Description: bacterial SSU rRNA
Rfam family: Bacterial small subunit ribosomal RNA
Source: RNAcentral
GGCGAACGGGUGAGUAACACGUGAGUAACCUGCCCUUGACUCUGGGAUAACCUCCGGAAACGGAAGCUAAUACCAGAUAUGACGUGCGGAGGCAUCUCCUGUACGUGGAAAGAAUUUCGGUCAAGGAUGGACUCGCGGCCUAUCAGGUAGUUGGUGAGGUAAUGGCUCACCAAGCCUACGACGGGUAGCCGGCCUGAGAGGGUGACCGGCCACACUGGGACUGAGACACGGCCCAGACUCCUACGGGAGGCAGCAGUGGGGAAUAUUGCACAAUGGGCGCAAGCCUGAUGCAGCAACGCCGCGUGAGGGAUGACGGCCUUCGGGUUGUAAACCUCUUUUAGUAGGGAAGAAGCGAAAGUGACGGUACCUGCAGAAAAAGCUCCGGCUAACUCCGUGCCAGCCGCCGCGG